GUAACAAGGUUUCCGUAGGUGAACCUGCGGAAGGAUCAUUACAGAGUUCAUGCCCGAAAGGGUAGACCUCCCACCCUUGUGUAUUAUUACUUUGUUGCUUUGGCGAGCUGCCUUCGGGCCUUGUAUGCUCGCCAGAGAAUACCAAAACUCUUUUUAUUAAUGUCGUCUGAGUACUAUAUAAUAGUUAAAACUUUCAACAACGGAUCUCUUGGUUCUGGCAUCGAUGAAGAACGCAGCGAAAUGCGAUAAGUAAUGUGAAUUGCAGAAUUCAGUGAAUCAUCGAAUCUUUGAACGCACAUUGCGCCCCUUGGCAUUCCGGGGGGCAUNCCUGUUCGAGCGUCAUUUCAACCCUCAAGCUUAGCUUGGUAUUGAGUCUAUGUCAGUAAUGGCAGGCUCUAAAAUCAGUGGCGGCGCCGCUGGGUCCUGAACGUAGUAAUAUCUCUCGUUACAGGUUCUCGGUGUGCUUCUGCCAAAACCCAAAUUUUUCUAUGGUUGACCUCGGAUCAGGU
RNAcentral lists this ribosomal RNA (509 nucleotides) under Botryotinia sp. FL-2010a. RNAcentral describes it as "eukaryotic LSU rRNA". The stretch from base 189 to 342 matches the Rfam family "5.8S ribosomal RNA". Lineage: Eukaryota; Fungi; Ascomycota; Leotiomycetes; Helotiales; Sclerotiniaceae. The record is from RNAcentral.